GAUGAAGAACGUAGCGAAAUGCGAUAAGUAAUGUGAAUUGCAGAAUUCAGUGAAUCAUCGAAUCUUUGAACGCACCUUGCACCCUUUGGCAUUCCGAAGGGUAUGCUCGUUUGAGUGUCAUUGUACUCUCACACUUCCAAUCUUUGGAUUGGGAGCAGUGGACUUGGGUGUUGCUGCUUACUGUGGCUCACCUCAAAUCGAUUCGUGCACCUCUUGGUUGGACAUAGUACGGCGUGAUAAGUGUCUUCGCCGGCACCUCAGUAGAGGGUGGCUGAUCAGGAGCUCUGUGCUUCAAACCGUCCUCGGACAACAACUGACAACUUGACCUCAAAUCGAGUAGGACUACCCGCUGAACUUAAGCAUAUCAAUAAGCGGAGGA
Molecule: unclassified non-coding RNA, 379 nt
Filed under: soil metagenome
Description: partial contains 5.8S ribosomal RNA, internal transcribed spacer 2, and large subunit ribosomal RNA
Rfam family: 5.8S ribosomal RNA (bases 1-120)
Source: RNAcentral